UCAGGACGAACGCUGGCGGCGUGCUUAACACAUGCAAGUCGAACGGAGAUUUUUAUUUCGGUAAAAAUCUUAGUGGCAAACGGGUGAGUAACGCGUAGGCAACCUGCCUUUCCGAUGGGGACAACAGUUCGAAAGGACUGCUAAUACCGAAUGAUGUAUAUCUUCCGCAUGGAGGACAUACCAAAGACGGCCUCUAUUUAUAAGCUGUCACGGAAAGAUGGGCCUGCGUCUGAUUAGCCAGUUGGCGGGGUAAUGGCCCACCAAAGCAACGAUCAGUAGCCGGUCUGAGAGGAUGAACGGCCACAUUGGGACUGAGACACGGCCCAAACUCCUACGGGAGGCAGCAGUGGGGAAUCUUCCGCAAUGGACGAAAGUCUGACGGAGCAACGCCGCGUGAGUG
This 400-nucleotide ribosomal RNA is filed under the name uncultured archaeon. Its description in RNAcentral is "bacterial SSU rRNA". It matches the Rfam family "Bacterial small subunit ribosomal RNA", at positions 24 to 407 of the family's 1533-position model. The record is from RNAcentral.